RNAcentral lists this small RNA (317 nucleotides) under Histoplasma capsulatum var. duboisii H88. RNAcentral's name for it is "Histoplasma capsulatum H88 hypothetical RNA". Lineage: Eukaryota; Fungi; Ascomycota; Eurotiomycetes; Onygenales; Ajellomycetaceae. The record is from RNAcentral.
GUCAUGUUGGUGUAACGGUCGUUGCUGCAACAAUCCUCUCGAUACAGCCCAUGUUCCUAAACACGAUGUUCGCAACAAAUAGUUUUUUUUAGCACUCGGUAGAAACGAGGAUACAAAACUCCGCACCACGUUUUGCUCGGGAGAUUGCAUGGGCCCUGAAAGAGAAGGGGGUUUGUGUUGGUUCAAUCCGAAAUACAAGGAUUUAGUGUGUUGUAAAAUUGGAGAGAGAAUGGUGCUAUUCCAACCUAGUAGAGCUUUUCUAAUUUCGCUGAUAUCUGUGCUGCUGGUUUCCUUCGCAGAAUUGGCGCCCUUCCGCG